GGUUAAGCGACUAAGCGUACACGGUGGAUGCCCUGGCAGUCAGAGGCGAUGAAGGACGUGCUAAUCUGCGAUAAGCGCCGGUAAGGUGAUAUGAACCGUUAUAACCGGCGAUUUCCGAAUGGGGAAACCCAGUGUGACUCGUCACACUAUCAUUAACUGAAUCCAUAGGUUAAUGAGGCGAACCGGGGGAACUGAAACAUCUAAGUACCCCGAGGAAAAGAAAUCAACCGAGAUUCCCCCAGUAGCGGCGAGCGAACGGGGAGGAGCCCAGAGCCUGAAUCAGCAUGUGUGUUAGUGGAAGCGUCUGGAAAGGCGCGCGAUACAGGGUGACAGCCCCGUACACA
This 344-nucleotide ribosomal RNA is filed under the name Salmonella enterica. Its description in RNAcentral is "partial 23S ribosomal RNA". It matches the Rfam family "Bacterial large subunit ribosomal RNA", at positions 1 to 381 of the family's 2925-position model. Lineage: Bacteria; Pseudomonadati; Pseudomonadota; Gammaproteobacteria; Enterobacterales; Enterobacteriaceae. The record is from RNAcentral.